This 139-nucleotide ribosomal RNA is filed under the name Phlebotomus papatasi. RNAcentral's name for it is "5.8S ribosomal RNA". It matches the Rfam family "5.8S ribosomal RNA". From Rfam's summary of the family: 5.8S ribosomal RNA (5.8S rRNA) is a component of the large subunit of the eukaryotic ribosome. Lineage: Eukaryota; Metazoa; Arthropoda; Insecta; Diptera; Psychodidae. The record is from RNAcentral.
AACCCUAUACGGGGGAUCACUUGGCUCGUGGGUCGAUGAAGAACGUAGCUAACUGCGUGAAAUCGUGUGAACUGCAGGACACAUGAACAUCGACAUUUUGAACGCAUAUUGCGGUACAUGCAAAAAAAAAUUAACGACA